UUCCUGAAUAUAUCACAUGUGAUAAACAUGAAGAUGUAUGAAAAAUUGUGUUCGUUGAGAGAAAAUGGAAGGCUUUUCAUUCUACUUCCACAUUUUCAUUCCAGCAGCUUUUCUGUUUUGGAAGGUGAGUACUGAAUCUUGCAAUGAAAUUUUUUUAACUUAAACAAGGUUCUUAUGCCUUUGUUUGAAAAACAUGGUUCCCUGUGAAAUUUUACAUGUAGAAGACAGCUUCACACUACGAGAGCUCUCAGGAUAUAAUUAUUUCAGACAGAUGCUGGGAACAUAAGAUGUCUUAUCAAUCUAAGAUGGCCUUCCUGUCCUUCGGAUUGAACUGAAACCAUCCCUGAUUCCAGGGAUAGGUAGAUGAUCCAGGUUUGGACAAUCGAAAUAUUGAACCACCCUGGACCUACAAGUGUUUCUGGGAUGGGAACGUGCAAACGUUGGUCCAAAUUGUUGUUCUAGGCAGCCCAGUACAUUUCUCCAAUGCCUGAUGGAAUGAUAGGGUACGCAUAAAUGUUCAUGUGGGCUCUGGAGUAUACCAGGAACUGAAGUAAGGUACAUGGACGUCUUGAAUAUUGUAACUGAGAUGGGCAAGCCUACACCUUUGCAAAUAAAGGAGGAUUGGGAAAGAUUAAGCCUCUCAAGCACUGUGAAAAAUCACUUUCUCUUGUUAUAUUCUUGGAGCCCCUGCUAAUUCAUUAUUGAAAAAUACCUGCUGCCUGCAUUUGGCCUUAUGUUGUCAUUUACUUG
RNAcentral lists this non-coding RNA (750 nucleotides) under Pan troglodytes (chimpanzee). Lineage: Eukaryota; Metazoa; Chordata; Mammalia; Primates; Hominidae. The record is from RNAcentral.